Molecule: ribosomal RNA, 119 nt
Organism: Pteropus vampyrus (large flying fox)
Lineage: Eukaryota; Metazoa; Chordata; Mammalia; Chiroptera; Pteropodidae
Source: Ensembl
GUCUACGGCCAUACUACCCUGAACAAGCCCAAUCCCGUCUGAUCUCGGAAGGUAAGCAGGGUCAGGCCUGGUUAGUAUCUGGAUGGGAGAUCACCUAGAAAUACCAGGUGCCGUAGGCG